Molecule: ribosomal RNA, 497 nt
Filed under: uncultured bacterium
Lineage: Bacteria
Description: partial 16S ribosomal RNA
Rfam family: Bacterial small subunit ribosomal RNA
Source: RNAcentral
GAUGAACGCUGGCGGCGUGCCUAAUACAUGCAAGUCGAGCGAACGGACGCGAAGCUUGCUUCUCUGAUGUUAGCGGCGGACGGGUGAGUAACACGUGUAUAACCUACCUAUAAGACUGGGAUAACUUCGGGAAACCGGAGCUAAUACCGGAUAAUAUUUUGAACCGCAGGGUUCAAUAGUGAAAGACGGUCUUGCUGGCACUUAUAGAUGGAUCCGCGCUGCAUUAGCUAGUUGGUAAGGUAACGGCUUACCAAGGCAACGAGGCAUUGACGACCUGGGAGAGUGAUCGGCCACCCUGGGACGUGACCGGCGACCAUGGUCCUACGGGAGGCAGCAGUAGGCUAUGUGCCGCAGUGGGCGAGAGCCUGACGGAGCAACGCCGCGUGAGUGAUGGAAGUCCCCCGAUCGUGAUACUCUGUUAUGAGGGGUGAACAGAUGUGUAAGUUACUGUGCACAGCGUGACGGUACCUGGUCAGAAAGCCACGGCUAACUACGUG